UUGCAGUGAUGACUUGAGUCUGUCAAUCCCCUGAGUGAGUUUAAUCACUGAUGUCUCCAUGUCUCUGAGCAA
Small nucleolar RNA from Bison bison bison, 72 nucleotides. Ensembl annotates it as small nucleolar RNA, C/D box 110. Its record names the gene SNORD110. The record is from Ensembl. NCBI's taxonomy places the organism in Eukaryota, Metazoa, Chordata, Mammalia, Artiodactyla, Bovidae.